Molecule: non-coding RNA, 235 nt
Organism: Pelobates cultripes (western spadefoot toad)
Lineage: Eukaryota; Metazoa; Chordata; Amphibia; Anura; Pelobatidae
Source: the annotation of a GenBank genome assembly
CUUCCGCCAGGAUAUGACAUCGUCCCGGCAUGACUGCUGGGCGCGCAAAGGACCUGUGCAUGAAGAGCACAGAGGUCCGUGGCUCCAACAUAGCAGCAACCACUGGCCACCAGGAAGAGGAUCCACUCCAGUGCUCCCAGAUCAAGUUAGGGAGGCUGGGUAGACCUCUUUAGUAUUAAAUGUGUGUGCAUGUGAUUUUUGUGUAUGUUUUGUUAGUGGUUGGCUGUGUGUGUGG